AUGGUCUUCUCCUUCGUAGCCAAAGCCACCGCCCCCAAGGUCUACCCCUUGGUGCCCUGCGACUGCGACGACCCCACGGUCAGCGUGGCCUGUUUGGCCGCCGACUUCUUCCCCGAACCGGCCACCAUCUCCUGGACCAGCCCCGUCUCCGGGCAGCAGGCCACCUUCCCAGUUCUCCCAGUUGCUGGAGGCUACUACAACCUCAUCUCCCAGUUCACCGUCCCGGUCAACCAGGUGGACAACAACUUCCAGUGCACGGUGGCCCACAGCCCCACGGGGACCACCACCAAGACCAUCGAAAGUGGCGAUAACACACGGGCGAUGACCGUCACCCUCCUCCCCCCAUCCAUGGAGGACCUCUACCUCAGCCAGAACGGCAGCGUCACCUGCGUGGCCACCAACCUGAAGGACCCCAAGGACGUCAAGUUUGUCUGGAAGAGGGACCAAGGGAAGGUAGCCAAGCGCUGGCUUUUGGUAGCCAAGCUCCAGGAGAGGGACAACUGGGGCCACCAGAGCUCCACGGGGGGGUGGUCCAUGCCAGUAGCCCCCCCAACACCCCUCUCAACGAUGGUCUUCUCCUUCGUAGCCAAAGCCACCGCCCCCAAGGUCUACCCCUUGGUGCCCUGCGACUGCGACGACCCCACGGUCAGCGUGGCCUGUUUGGCCGCCGACUUCUUCCCCGAACCGGCCACCAUCUCCUGGACCAGCCCCGUCUCCGGGCAGCAGGCCACCUUCCCAGUUCUCCCAGUUGCUGGAGGCUACUACAGCCUCAUCUCCCAGUUCACCGUCCCGGUCAACCAGGUGGACAACAACUUCCAGUGCAAGGUGGCCCACAGCCCCACGGGGACCACCACCAAGACCAUCGAAAGUGGCGAUAUUUGUCCACAUGAGCUGCCCCUGGAGGUCAAGCUCUUGGGUGACCCCAACAAGUACCAGAAGCAGCAGCAGGUCCUCCUGAUGUGCCUCGUGGAGAGCCCCAAGGCCGGAGAAGCCACCAUCACGUGGAUGGUCAACCACGUGGAGAAGCCCCUCAUGCCGGCGGUCACCACCUGUGACAAGUGCUCCGGGGACAAGGCCAUCAUGACCAGUCAGGUCAACGUCAGCCGGCAGAGCUGGGACAACGGGGCCGAGUUCUCCUGCAAGGUCACCCACCCUGAACUGAGCAAAGCCGUGGUCCAAGACAUCAGCACCUUCUGCACAGAUAACACACGGGCGAUGACCGUCACCCUCCUCCCCCCAUCCAUGGAGGACCUCUACCUCAGCCAGAACGGCAGCGUCACCUGCGUGGCCACCAACCUGAAGGACCCCAAGGACGUCAAGUUUGUCUGGAAGAGGGACCAAGGGAAGGUCUCGGAUGUCACCAGGGGGACCCCCAAGGAACUGGAGAACGGGCUCUACCAUCUCACCAGCACCUUGAAGAUCGGCGCCGAGGACUGGAACUCGGGGGAGAAGUUCACCUGCACCAUCCAAAACCCCCAACUGGAAGAACCCGUCACCAAGAGCAUCAAGAAGGAACUAGGUAGGAGCCUCCCGCCCCACACUUUGCCCCACAUCCGGCCCCACCGAGGUGGAGAGGGGGGGAUGGGGGGGGGCUUGGUGGAGUCGUGGUGGCCA
This is a non-coding RNA of Calidris pugnax (ruff), 1614 nucleotides long. Lineage: Eukaryota; Metazoa; Chordata; Aves; Charadriiformes; Scolopacidae. The record is from the annotation of a RefSeq genome assembly.